This 1076-nucleotide ribosomal RNA is filed under the name Ralstonia sp. Its description in RNAcentral is "bacterial SSU rRNA". It matches the Rfam family "Bacterial small subunit ribosomal RNA", at positions 1 to 1077 of the family's 1533-position model. Lineage: Bacteria; Pseudomonadati; Pseudomonadota; Betaproteobacteria; Burkholderiales; Burkholderiaceae. The record is from RNAcentral.
AGCACUUUUGUCCGGAAAGACAUGGCUGUGGUUAAUACCUGGGGUCGAUGACGGCAGCGGGGGAGAAGCUUGCUUCUCCUGCCGGCGAGUGGCGAACGGGUGAGUAAUACAUCGGAACGUGCCCUGUAGUGGGGGAUAACUAGUCGAAAGAUUAGCUAAUACCGCAUACGACCUGAGGGUGAAAGUGGGGGACCGCAAGGCCUCAUGCUAUAGGAGCGGCCGAUGUCUGAUUAGCUAGUUGGUGGGGUAAAGGCCCACCAAGGCGACGAUCAGUAGCUGGUCUGAGAGGACGAUCAGCCACACUGGGACUGAGACACGGCCCAGACUCCUACGGGAGGCAGCAGUGGGGAAUUUUGGACAAUGGGCGAAAGCCUGAUCCAGCAAUGCCGCGUGUGUGAAGAAGGCCUUCGGGUUGUAAAGCACUUUUGUCCGGAAAGAAAUGGCUCUGGUUAAUACCUGGGGUCGAUGACGGUACCGGAAGAAUAAGGACCGGCUAACUACGUGCCAGCAGCCGCGGUAAUACGUAGGGUCCAAGCGUUAAUCGGAAUUACUGGGCGUAAAGCGUGCGCAGGCGGUUGUGCAAGACCGAUGUGAAAUCCCCGAGCUUAACUUGGGAAUUGCAUUGGUGACUGCACGGCUAGAGUGUGUCAGAGGGGGGUAGAAUUCCACGUGUAGCAGUGAAAUGCGUAGAGAUGUGGAGGAAUACCGAUGGCGAAGGCAGCCUCCUGGGAUAACACUGACGCUCAUGCACGAAAGCGUGGGGAGCAUACAGGAUUAGAUACCCUGGUAGUCCACGCCCUAAACGAUGUCAACUAGUUGUUGGGGAUUCAUUUCCUUAGUAACGUAGCUAACGCGUGAAGUUGACCGCCUGGGGAGUACGGUCGCAAGAUUAAAACUCAAAGGAAUUGACGGCGACCCGCACAAGCGGUGGAUGAUGUGGAUUAAUUCGAUGCAACGCGAAAAACCUUACCUACCCUUGACAUGCCACUAACGAAGCAGAGAUGCAUUAGGUGCUCGAAAGAGAAAGUGGACACAGGUGCUGCAUGGCUGUCGUCAGCUCGUGUCGUGAGAUGUUG